Molecule: non-coding RNA, 75 nt
Organism: Podarcis lilfordi (Lilford's wall lizard)
Lineage: Eukaryota; Metazoa; Chordata; Lepidosauria; Squamata; Lacertidae
Source: the annotation of a GenBank genome assembly
GAUUGACUUGCUGUGAUUGGUUAGAGCGUGGUGCUGAUAACGCCAAGGUUGCAGGUUCAAUCCCUGUAAGGGACA